GAAGGCGGGGAGAGAGAAAGAGGGAGGGAGGGACCGGGAUGUAGGACUCCCGCCCGCGCUGGAGGCUGUGGUGAGGGGGAAUCAAAAACUGUCUACUUGGCCACAAUUAGGGGAAAACUGCUAAGGAAAUAACAACCCUGGGCUUGGAGUCAAUGGACCAGGACCAGAGUUAAAGUCAGUAGCUGUGAUCUUCAAAUAAACAGAGACUGAUAGAGCUGUAGAGCCCAUGAGUUGAAGAUAGGAAGAGCACAAGAAAAAAGGCCAUCCAGGUCUUCAAGUCGUCACUGGAGGGGAACAUCAUAAGACCCUGCUGCAUAAGCUUCAGACUGUGAUGUGAGCCAGAAAUAAACCUUGA
This is a long non-coding RNA of Chinchilla lanigera (long-tailed chinchilla), 355 nucleotides long. RefSeq lists it as uncharacterized. Lineage: Eukaryota; Metazoa; Chordata; Mammalia; Rodentia; Chinchillidae. The record is from RefSeq and is a predicted model, not a curated record. The transcript has 3 exons.